CCUACGGGUGGCAGCAGUGAGGAAUAUUGGUCAAUGGGGGAAACCCUGAUGCAGCGACGCCGCGUGAGUGAAGAAGUAAUUCGUUAUGUAAAGCUCUAUCAGCAGGGAAGAAACUGACGGUACCUGAGUCAGAAGCCCCGGCUAACUACGUGCCAGCAGCCGCGGUAAUACGUAGGGGGCAAGCGUUAUCCGGCUUUACUGGGUGUAAAGGGAGCGUAGACGGCAGUGCAAGUCUGGAGUGAAAGGCGGGGGCUCAACCCCCGGACCGCUCUGGAAACUGUACGGCGGGAGUGCAGGAGAGGUAAGUGGAAUUCCUAGUGUAGCGGUGAAAUGCGUAGAUAUUAGGAGGAACACCAGUGGCGAAGGCGGCUUACUGGACUGUAACUGACGUUGAGGCUCGAAAGCGUGGGGAGCAAACAGGAUUAGAUACCCCAGUAGUC
RNAcentral lists this ribosomal RNA (440 nucleotides) under uncultured bacterium. Its description in RNAcentral is "partial 16S ribosomal RNA". It matches the Rfam family "Bacterial small subunit ribosomal RNA", at positions 338 to 795 of the family's 1533-position model. The record is from RNAcentral.